Non-coding RNA from Epinephelus lanceolatus (giant grouper), 367 nucleotides. The record is from RefSeq and is a predicted model, not a curated record. NCBI's taxonomy places the organism in Eukaryota, Metazoa, Chordata, Actinopteri, Perciformes, Serranidae.
UGGAUUCUUCAGGUGACUUUUGUGUUUGGUGAGAAGCUUGUGCCUCCAGUAAGGUGUGUGAGGAUGCUCUGCUGUUUGCGGACUGGUUAUACUGGGACAGAGAGGCUGAGUGGACCACAGGGACCAGAGACGUUGAACCUGGAGCAGCUCCUUGAGGACCCAGAGGUGCACAUGGCUCACAGAAGCAUUCAGAGAGGACAAAGAGGCAGAAUAUCAGGAUACAUGACUGACGGGGAAAAGGCUCGCUGGGCAGCACAAAAGCUCCUGUGAUGAUUGACAGGGUCUUUAUUUGUUACUCUAAAAAAAAAAGAAGCAGUGUAUUUUUAACGGUGGAUGGUGGGUGAAUAAAAUGCAGGAUCAUGUUUCA